RNAcentral lists this long non-coding RNA (3253 nucleotides) under Sus scrofa (pig). RNAcentral's name for it is "lncRNA (ENSSSCG00005013637.1)". The record is from RNAcentral. Lineage: Eukaryota; Metazoa; Chordata; Mammalia; Artiodactyla; Suidae.
UUUGGGUUUGAGAGACAGAGAAAGAGAUAGAAGCCGACAGCUGGGGAAUAACUCAGAUUGUGUUUUAUGGCUACACGUGUGUGAGCAUGCAAUGCAUAGGAAAGUGGUCUUUCCCAAGUGUGUCCCCGCACACAUUUGAUUGACAGUCACAACGAUGGUGACAUGACCUAGUUUUUCUUUCUUUAGAAUACAUGGAUCUGCACCUAAAGAUAGGUAGCCCUUUGCUUUGUCUCCUGGGUAUGACAACUUUAAAUAAAUCCUUAAGUUCCAUGACCCCAUUCCCACCUUGUCUCCCUUCAACAUGCUUCCUGAGUAGCUGCUAAGUAUAAGGAACCUUAGAGAAAACAAGUAGAAGGAAGGGAAGAGUGCACACAAAUAAAAGACUGAAUAUUUGAAAAGGACAUUCAGCAAAAGGAAAAGCAAAAAAUUGGGAAGCAAUGGGGGUGAAAAGAAAACCUGGUGAAUGGGGUUGGAAGAAGGGCAGGACUUGAGAAGAUUCAUGUCACCUGGCAUCAAAGGAGAUAGACCUUCUCUUCUCUUUGACUCAGUCCCUUGUUUAUUGGGAUGAUCCACCAUAGUCGGCUUAACUCUUGGCUGAAGCUAGGGAAGACUUGUCACUAUUUGCUGUGUGAAUCCAUGUCUGUAAUUUCUGUGACCUGAGCAUUCAGGGCAAAAAUUGUUUCCAUUUUUUCCCAUUUCAUGCAUCAUUUCAGAGUUGUGUAGUCACUUUGUAGAAGCUGUGGGUGCCAAUUUUAACAAGUAGAAAAACAAGAAUCGCAAAGCCUGCAUUGCCUGCAUCUGCUUCUCUCAUUUCUGAACCAGAGAGGAUGGGAGUUACCGAGGACAACGAAAGUUAGCAACAGUGGAUCCUGUGUUUGCAUAAGUGUCCUAUUUUAACUAAGAGCAACUGUGCAUAAUCCCCUCAGAGAAUCGGGUUGCCGGUUGGCAGGCCUCUGGAGCCAGAACACCUGCGUGGUGGAGAGGCACUACUCUCUGUGAAGGGUGCCAGCCAUGGCCUUUCCACCCCACAGGCUUAGCAUCUGACUAAGCAUGCCAGUUGCUUCUGAGGGCCAGUUGCUUACAGAAAAUAACUACAGCUCUGUGAGACGGUGUUUCUCUCUUUGAUUUUCUCUCUGGAUCUGACUACCCUCUUUCACAACUUGCCCUAUCUUGUAUGGCUUUUCAAAGACUGUGACAUGAAAGCAAUUACAAAUAUUAAAUACAGAAGGCAAAAUUUAUUAUCCCUGAAACAUCAAGAGAGCUGCAUGGACAACAGAUAUUGGAGGGCACUUCCUGGAGAUCAUUUUGCUGAGAGUUAAAUAUUCCCAAGCAUACUAAGGGUAGGGUCCCUCCAGUGUUUUGAAAUCCCUGCCUUAUCUGGCAGGAUCUUUUCUGCCAUUCUCCUCUUAGCUCUUUGCACAUGCCUGGAAAAAUGAAUGAAUGGCAGAACUCACCAAUCGACUGACCAAGAACUGAAUGCUAAUUUACAUAAAUGUGACAGGAUCUGGAUUUCCAUGUGCUUUUAUAAUUUACCUACUUCAAUAAUUCUCAGGAAAUAGCUUAUUCUUAAGUACUCUUUCUUUCUCCCUUUUUCCUUCUUUCCCUCCUUUCCUUUUUUUUUUUCUUUCUCUCCUUUCUCUUUAAUGUAGUAUAAGAAGAUAGAUUCCUAGGUCAUAAACCUGAUUCUGCCUAGGAGAGCAGAUUUCUUAUUUUUAAAGGCACACUGGGGUCACUGUGUCCCGACACAUAUCUUUUUGUUUUUUUUCUUAAGUGCAUUUCUUUUAAAAUGAAGGAAAUCCUGUUAUUUGCGACAACAUGAGUAAAACUGGAGGGCACUAUGCUGCGUGAAAUAAGCCAGAAAGAGAAAGACAGAUACUUCAUGGUAUCACUUACAUGUGGAAUAAAAAAAAAAAAAAAGUAAAAGCAGAGAGUUGAACUCAGAAACAGUAGGAUAGUGCUUGUCAGGGGCUGGGGAAUGAGGGAAAUGUUCAGGGGAUGGUAAAAGAGCUCAAGUUUUCAGUUAUAAGAAUAAGAUCUGAGUAUCUAAUAUAGAACGUGGUGAAUAUAGUUGAUAGUACUAUAUUGUGCAAUUAAAAUUUGCUAGGAGAGUAAAACAAAUGUUCUCACACACAAACACACACACACACACACAUUAAUUACAGUAGGAAAAGAGAUGUCAAAUUGACUCUAGGAAACUUUUCACAAUGUCCAUAUAUAUAUUAAAUCAUCCUAUUGCAUAAUUUAAGUAUCUUACAAUUUUGUCAGAUAGACUUCAAUAAAGCCUUUGAAACAUAACAAAAAUAUAUGCAUUUCCUUCCUAAUGACAGUUUACCUUGUCUUUAAUGUAUUGAACUUUUGGGAAGAAGAUAACAGCAUGCUGAUUCUCUGGUCUGGAAUCUCAACCAAAAUUAUAGCCAGGAGAGCAUCUCCAGAUGUUCUAGAGUCUUCCAACUCUAAGCCAGCCUGAGAUAAGGAUCCAGAAAGAACAGUACCCAAGCUGCCUGCUAAAACCAGCACCCAGCGUUAACAUUACCUGGGUGGUGUUACUGGCCAGUGCAUAUUUUCAUAUGCAUCCUCAUAUCUCCUAUCAAGUUUAUCUUUGAAUCCUAGGGUGUUAGUUACUGUGUGUCAGACAGAAUAUAUUCCUUUCUGGAAAAUUCUCGAUAAGGAAAGAAACUCGGAUCCAACGAAUAGCUCAAUUGGCAUACAUGUUAUCAGUGUGGUUUCAAGAGGCAGGUGCUCUCACACUGAAGUUUACAGUACAUCCAACUCAAAAUAUUAGUGUUAAAUUAACGAAGAAUGAAAUUUCUAGGCUUUCAAAUAAAAGGUUAUUGCUGAGAGUAUCCCACAUUUUAUGCAGAAUAUAAUAUUGAAAAUGAAAACAAAACUAAUUGCAUAUGUUGAGGGUGAUCUUUAGAAGCAGUGACAGAAAUUCAAGCGACCUACAUGCAUUAUAUUCCCAGCGGAAAUGUCCAUCUCCAUCACCAUUGCCCCUUUUUCUUAAUUUUUUCUCCUUUUUUUUCCCAAUCGCUUUAUUGAAUUUUAUGGAUUUAUUAUAGCACCAUCCUUAAUAUCACAAGAUAGAGGAUGAGUCCAAAUUAUGAUAUUGAUAUGGUAGCAGAACAUGGCUGUAUUUCCUUUUUUUUUUUUUUUUUCCUUUUUUGCAAACACUGGGUCAAUUUUUCUCGUGAAGAGAGAGGUUGGGAAGUUAAUUAGGUUUGGUACUAAAACGCUGAUUAAUUUCAACUGAUUC